CAUUCACGGAGAGUUUGAUCCUGGCUCAGGACGAACGCUGGCGGCGUGCUUAACACAUGCAAGUCGAACGAUGAACCACCUUCGGGUGGGGAUUAGUGGCGAACGGGUGAGUAACACGUGGGCAAUCUGCCCUUCACUCUGGGACAAGCCCUGGAAACGGGGUCUAAUACCGGAUACUGACCUGCCAAGGCAUCUUGGCGGGUCGAAAGCUCCGGCGGUGAAGGAUGAGCCCGCGGCCUAUCAGCUUGUUGGUGAGGUAAUGGCUCACCAAGGCGACGACGGGUAGCCGGCCUGAGAGGGCGACCGGCCACACUGGGACUGAGACACGGCCCAGACUCCUACGGGAGGCAGCAGUGGGGAAUAUUGCACAAUGGGCGAAAGCCUGAUGCAGCGACGCCGCG
This 401-nucleotide ribosomal RNA is filed under the name Streptomyces coelicoflavus. Its description in RNAcentral is "bacterial SSU rRNA". It matches the Rfam family "Bacterial small subunit ribosomal RNA", at positions 1 to 401 of the family's 1533-position model. The record is from RNAcentral. Lineage: Bacteria; Bacillati; Actinomycetota; Actinomycetes; Kitasatosporales; Streptomycetaceae.